AUUGAACGCUGGCGGCAGGCCUAACACAUGCAAGUCGAGCGGAUGAAGGGAGCUUGCUCCUGGAUUCAGCGGCGGACGGGUGAGUAAUGCCUAGGAAUCUGCCUGGUAGUGGGGUAUAACGUCCGGAAACGGGCGCUAAUACCGCAUACGUCCUGAGGGAGAAAGUGGGGGAGCUUCGGACCUCACGCGAUCAGAUGAGCCUAGGUCGGAUUAGCUAGUUGGUGGGGUAAAGGCCUACCAAGGCGACGAUCCGUAACUGGUCUGAGAGGAUGAUCAGUCACACUGGAACUGAGACACGGUCCAGACUCCUACGGGAGGCAGCAGUGGGGAAUAUUGGAGAAUGGGCGAAAGCCUGAUCCAGCCAUGCCGCGUGUGUGAAGAAGGUCUUCGGAUUGUAAAGCACUUUAAGUUGGGAGGAAGGGCAGUAAGUUAAUACCUUGCUGUUUUGACGUUACCAACAGAAUAAGCACCGGCUAACUUCGUG
This 484-nucleotide ribosomal RNA is filed under the name uncultured bacterium. RNAcentral describes it as "partial 16S ribosomal RNA". It matches the Rfam family "Bacterial small subunit ribosomal RNA", at positions 30 to 507 of the family's 1533-position model. The record is from RNAcentral.